RNAcentral lists this non-coding RNA (64 nucleotides) under Propionibacterium sp. Lineage: Bacteria; Bacillati; Actinomycetota; Actinomycetes; Propionibacteriales; Propionibacteriaceae. The record is from RNAcentral.
GAGAAGUCCAGUGAGAAUCUGGCGCUGUCCCGCAACCGUGAGGCCCUCCGGGCCGAGCCGGAUC